RNAcentral lists this ribosomal RNA (267 nucleotides) under uncultured bacterium. Its description in RNAcentral is "partial 16S ribosomal RNA". It matches the Rfam family "Bacterial small subunit ribosomal RNA", at positions 524 to 787 of the family's 1533-position model. The record is from RNAcentral.
GACAGAGGUGCCGAGCGUUAGGCGGAAUCACUGGGCUUAAAGCGUGUGUAGGCGGAUCGUUAAGUGCCUUGUGAAAUCCCACGGCUUAACCGUGGAACUGCUUGGCAUACUGGCGGUCUUGAGCAACCUAGGGGCAAGCGGGAACAAAUGGUGGAGCGGUGAAAUGCGUAGAUAUCAUUUGGAACGCCAAUGGUGAAAACAGCUUGCUGGGGGGUUUGCUGACGCUGAGACACGAAAGCCAGGGGGAGCAAACGGGAUUAAGAAACC